AUUUAACCCAAUCUUAUAAUAAUUAACUAAUAAAAACACUUUAACAACUAAUAUUUCCCACAUUUACACCCUAAAAGUACUAAAAAGGAAAUUCAAAUAACUCAAAAUAGUUAUUAAUCAACGUACCUCGUGCAUUAUGGUUUUACAAGCACAUAAUUAAAUAUAAUACCCCGAAUACUACGCGAGCUGCUUCUUUAUAGCUAAGAGCCCACUACUAAUUAUAGCACCAACUUUAGAAAAUAAACUAGCAGAGGCUACAUACCACACGCGCUAGACAAUUGCUGGUUCUCAGUAAACCUUAUAAAUUAAACCAUGUAAUCAUUUACAAUGCUAGAUUUUAGAGGAUAAGCCCUAAGAUCUAAAGCUAAUAAACAUAAUUUUCAAUCAGUAGGCUCAAAAUCAGCCACCUUAAGUACUUUACCGUAAUACUCCCCGUAUAAAUAAUUGUCCUGCGCAAUAAAACUGAGAAUUUUGAAAAAUAUUCAUCCUUAAUAUAAUAUGUAAAAAUAAGUAUUAGACCAACCUAUAUCCCUCUACCCCAUAAAUACCCAUAAAGGGAACUCGGCA
Molecule: ribosomal RNA, 567 nt
Filed under: Octodrilus transpadanus
Lineage: Eukaryota; Metazoa; Annelida; Clitellata; Crassiclitellata; Lumbricidae
Description: partial 16S ribosomal RNA
Source: RNAcentral